This is a long non-coding RNA of Homo sapiens (human), 2178 nucleotides long. Ensembl annotates it as NHSL1 antisense RNA 1. Its record names the gene NHSL1-AS1. Lineage: Eukaryota; Metazoa; Chordata; Mammalia; Primates; Hominidae. The record is from Ensembl.
UGCCUAUUUAAAGUGUAUAACUCAAUGCUUUUUAGUAUAUUUACAAUGUUGUGCAAACAUCACCAUAAUCACUUUUAGAACAUUUUAAUCACACCAGUCUCAAAAAAACAAUUCUCUUUAGUACUCAGUUCCCUCCCUCCUAAACCAUCACUAGCCAAUUGCAACCACUCAUGUGUCUAUGGAUUUGCCCAUUGUAGAGGUUUCAUAUCAAUGAAAUCAUACAUGUGUGAUUGUUUGUGACUGGCUUCUUUCACUUAGUGUGAUGUUUUCAAAGUUUAUCCAUGGAGUAGCAUGGAUCAGUUUUGAUUCUUUUUUUAAGGCUGCAUAAUAUCCCAUUGUUUGGAUAUGCCACAUUUUGUUUAUCCAUUCAUCAGUUAAUGGACAUUUGGGUGUCCACUUUUUGGCUAUUAUGAUUAAUGCUGCUGUGAACAUGUGUGUACAAGUUUUUGUGUUAACGUGUGUUUUCAUUUCUCUUGGGUACAUACCGAGGAGUGGAAUUGAUGAGUCAUGGUGCCAAUCUGUUUUCCGAAGUGACUGCACCAUUUUACCUCCCAGCCAGCAAUGUAUGAGGGUUCCAGUUUCUUCACAUCCUCGGCAACACUAAUUUUUAUGUCUUUUUUAUUACAGCCAUUCUAGUGGGUAUAAUACCUCAUUGUGGAUUCGAUUUGCAUUUUCCUGAUAGCUAGUGAUAAUGAGCAUCUUUUCAUGAUUUUAUCAGCUACCUGUUUAUCUUCUUUGGAAAAAGAUAACAUUGUAGAAAUGUCUGUUCAGAUUCUUGGCCAUUAUUAAAUCAAAUUUUUGUCCAUUUCUUAUCAAGAUGUAAUAGAUCCUUGAAUAUUCUAGAUACAAGUCCCUUAGGUGUAACAUUUACUUCCUGAUUGCUUUAACAGUCUAUUGUGGGUUUUUUGUUUUUUGUUUUUUGUUUUGAGAUGGAGUCUCGCUCUGUCACCCAGGCUGGAGUGCAAUGGCAGGAUCUUGGCUCACUGCAACCUCCGCCUCCUGGGUUCAAGCGAUUCUCCUGCCUCAGCCUCCCGUGUAGCUGGGAUUACAGGUGCCUGCCACCACGCCCAGCUAAUUUUGUAUUUUUAGUAGAGAUGGAUUUCACCAUGUUGGCCCGGCUGGUGUUGAACUCCUGACCUCAGGUGAUCCACCCACCUCAGCUUCUCAAAGUGCUGGGAUUACAAGCGUGAGCCACAGCACCCGGCCCAGCAUUGUUCUUUAGUUUAUUCCCUCUUCUAUUCCCUUGAGACUUUCCCAUUGGUUUGAAAAGAAUUAUGAUUUAGCCACAUAAACUAAUAAAAAGAGAGCAAGAAUAUUUUUGUAAAUUUGUAAUCCUGGGGCAAUAUCAAUAGAAUUUUUUUUAUAAAAUGAAUGAUUUCACUACUCCAGAAGUGGAAUGUAAACUCUAUACAUAACCAGAACAUGGAAUUAACAGGACUCAUGGGUGUAUCCAUAAAAGCAACUGAAUUUUUAGUCUUCUGCUGUUAAUAAUCUGUUCCAUGAGGAUAGUUCUUCCUCUUCCACAGAAUGAAACUCAGGCAGUCCUAUAACUUUUUUAUUCUCUCAGGUAAUAGAAAAUCCUGUUACUUUAAGAGGAAAAACCCUGCUCUUAAUUCAGUAAUUCAAAUCUUGUCCCCUUCCCCAACAGGGUCUCCUAUGGACAGAAGUGCGGGCAAGGAGCUUUGUUCCUCCCCGAUGUCACCCUCCCACAGCCCACUUGCUAGCAGGCAAGAGAGGGGUGGAGGCCGGCAGUAAGGCAUGUACUGAACUGGACCUCUGGUGGAAUGGGUCACCCACGCUGGGCUUGACUCUUACCAUCAGGGUCCUGCCAACCCUUCAGUGAGACUUUUUCCGAAGAAUCCCUUUUAAAAUGACCUCAAGCUGACCUUCCUGAUGCAGAUUCCACAUAUGGUAUCUGAGACUCACACAGUGUGGUUGGAAGAUAGCACAGUGACCUCCCAGGCACAGCCCUCUGCCAGCCCUCCACUGGCUGCCCUAGGAUGCUGGCCUUCCUCCGAUGGGAGUCGGGCCCAGUCUGCUGUGAGCCAGGAGAAGCCAGCAAGCUCCCUGCGAGGCCUGGAGGAGCCCUUCUCACUCAGCUUGGUGUUCGAUGCCAGUGCCCCCGCCCAUUGUGGGGUGAGGGUGGGACUCUCAGCACAGCCCUGUCCAAAUAAAUCC